RNAcentral lists this non-coding RNA (394 nucleotides) under Sporomusa malonica. RNAcentral describes it as "Bacterial small subunit ribosomal RNA". It matches the Rfam family "Bacterial small subunit ribosomal RNA", at positions 1 to 382 of the family's 1533-position model. The record is from Rfam by way of RNAcentral. Lineage: Bacteria; Bacillati; Bacillota; Negativicutes; Selenomonadales; Sporomusaceae.
UUAUUGGAGAGUUUGAUCCUGGCUCAGGACGAACGCUGGCGGCGUGCCUAACACAUGCAAGUCGAACGGAGUAAGUAGCAAUACUUACUUAGUGGCGAACGGGUGAGUAACGCGUAGAUAACCUGCCUCUAAAAUGGGGACAACACCGCGAAAGUGGUGCUAAUACCGAAUGUGGUAUCUCGGUUGCAUGACCGAGAUAAGAAAGAUGGCCUCUAUAUAUAAGCUAUCGUUUAGAGAUGGGUCUGCGUCUGAUUAGCUAGUUGGUGAGGUAAUAGCUCACCAAGGCGACGAUCAGUAGCCGGUCUGAGAGGAUGAACGGCCACACUGGGACUGAGACACGGCCCAGACUCCUACGGGAGGCAGCAGUGGGGAAUCUUCCGCAAUGGACGAAAGU